UACGUAGGCAGCAAGCGUUGUUCGGAAUUACUGGGCGUAAAGAGUGUGUAGGCGGUGCUCUAAGUUUGGUGUGAAAUCUCCCGGCUCAACUGGGAGGGUGCGCCGAAAACUGGAAUGCUUGAACGUGGGAGAGGAAAGCGGAAUUCCUGGUGUAGCAGUGAAAUGCGUAGAUAUCAGGAGGAACACCUGCGGUGUAGACGGCUUUCUGGACCAUUGUUGACGCUGAGACACGAAAGCGUGGGUAGCAAACAGG
Molecule: ribosomal RNA, 253 nt
Filed under: uncultured bacterium
Lineage: Bacteria
Description: partial 16S ribosomal RNA
Rfam family: Bacterial small subunit ribosomal RNA
Source: RNAcentral